UACGGAGGGGGCUAGCGUUGUCCGAAGUUACUGGGCGUAAAGCGCGCGUAGGCGGGUUGGUAAGUCCGCUGUGAAAGCCCGGAGCUCAACUCCGGAGGGUCGGUGGAUACUGCCAGUCUUGAAGGUGCUAGGGGGAGAUGGAAUUACCGGUGUAGCGGUGAAAUGCGUAGAUAUCGGUAGGAACACCAGUGGCGAAGGCGGUCUCCUGGGGCAUUCUUGACGCUGAGGCGCGAAAGCUAGGGGAGCAAACAGG
RNAcentral lists this ribosomal RNA (253 nucleotides) under uncultured bacterium. RNAcentral describes it as "partial 16S ribosomal RNA". It matches the Rfam family "Bacterial small subunit ribosomal RNA", at positions 524 to 776 of the family's 1533-position model. The record is from RNAcentral.